This 520-nucleotide long non-coding RNA is filed under the name Homo sapiens (human). RNAcentral describes it as "HSALNT0191993". The record is from RNAcentral. Lineage: Eukaryota; Metazoa; Chordata; Mammalia; Primates; Hominidae.
AUUGAUUGCCUGUAUGCAUACUUAUAGUGGAGAAUUUGCCACUGAUGUAACUCUUUUCUUUUUUUCUAUUUAUAAUUUUAUGGGUCUGAAUCUAAUAAAACAUUUGGACUUGUAUUUUGUAUGACCUUUUUAACUUUUAUUUUUCCAGCAGUUCAUUUUAAUUUUACUUUUUAAAAGUGUUGGUCCAUGAAAGAUUGUAAUUUUGAAGAAGGAAAGUGGUUUUUCACCACACAUAGUCUGGGCGAUCUAGGCCAGGCACAAUGCUCACAUCUGUAAUCCUAGCACUUUGGGAGGCCGAGGUGGGUGGAUCGCUUGAGCCCAAGAGUUUGAGACCAGCCUGGGCAACAUGGUGAAACCCCGUCUCUGAAAAAAGAAAUACAAAAUAAUUUGCCCGGUGUGGUGGCCACAUACGUGUAGUCCCAGCUACUCAGGAAGCUGAGGUGGGAGGAUCUCUUGAGCCCAGGAAGCCGAAGCCACAGUGAGCUGUGAUUGCACCACUGCACUCCAGUCUGGGUGACAA